Molecule: transfer RNA, 65 nt
Filed under: Patella vulgata (common limpet)
Lineage: Eukaryota; Metazoa; Mollusca; Gastropoda; Patellidae
Description: tRNA-Arg
Source: RNAcentral
CUAUUUGAAAUGAAAUAUCAUCUACGGGUUCGGUCCGUAUCUUGGUGGGACUCCGCCCAAAUAGG